Molecule: ribosomal RNA, 489 nt
Filed under: uncultured bacterium
Lineage: Bacteria
Description: partial 16S ribosomal RNA
Rfam family: Bacterial small subunit ribosomal RNA
Source: RNAcentral
GAUGAACGCUCGCUACAGGCUUAACACAUGCCAGUCGAGGGGCAGCAUGAACUUAGCUUGCUAAGUUUGAUGGCGACCGGCGCACGGGUGAGUAACACGUAUCCAACCUGCCGAUGACUCGGGGAUAGCCUUUCGAAAGAAAGAUUAAUACCCGAUGGCAUAGUUCUUCCGCAUGGUAGAACUAUUAAAGAAUUUCGUUCAUCGAUGGGGAUGCGUUCCAUUAGGUUGUUGGCGGGGUAACGGCCCACCAAGCCUUCGAUGGAUAGGGGUUCUGAGAGGAAGGUCCCCCACAUUGGAACUGAGACACGGGCCAAACUCCUACGGGAGGGAGAAGUGAGGAAUAGUGGUCAAUGGACGAGAGUCUGAACCAGCCAAGUAGCGUGAAGGAGGACUGCCCUAUGGGUUGUAAACUUCUUUUAUACGGGAAUAAAGUGAGGCACGUGUGCCUUUUUGUAUGUACCGUAUGAAUAAGGAUCGGCUAACUCCGUG